RNAcentral lists this ribosomal RNA (237 nucleotides) under uncultured Lactobacillus sp. RNAcentral describes it as "partial 16S ribosomal RNA". It matches the Rfam family "Bacterial small subunit ribosomal RNA", at positions 125 to 356 of the family's 1533-position model. Lineage: Bacteria; Bacillati; Bacillota; Bacilli; Lactobacillales; Lactobacillaceae. The record is from RNAcentral.
CCUGCCCAAGAGAUCGGGAUAACACCUGGAAACAGAUGCUAAUACCGGAUAACAAUAGAUGAUGCCUAUCAACUGUUUAAAAGAUGGUUCUGCUAUCACUCUUGGAUGGACCUGCGGUGCAUUAGCUAGUUGGUAGGGUAACGGCCUGCCAAGGCGAUGAUGCAUAGCCGAGUUGAGAGACUGAUCGGCCACAUUGGGACUGAGACACGGCCCAAACUCCUACGGGAGGCAGCAGCG